GAUGAACGCUGGCGGCGUGCCUAAUACAUGCAAGUCGAGCGAACAGAUAAGGAGCUUGCUCCUUUGACGUUAGCGGCGGACGGGUGAGUCACACGUGGAUAACCUACCUAUAAGACUGGGAUAACUUCGGGAAACCGGAGCUAAUACCGGAUAACAUAUUGAACCGCAUGGUUCAAUAGUGAAAGGCGGCUUUGCUGUCACUUAUAGAUGGAUCCGCGCCGUAUUAGCUAGUUGGUAAGGUAACGGCUUACCAAGGCAACGAUACGUAGCCGACCUGAGAGGGUGAUCGGCCACACUGGAACUGAGACACGGUCCAGACUCCUACGGGAGGCAGCAGUAGGGAAUCUUCCGCAAUGGGCGAAAGCCUGACGGAGCAACGCCGCGUGAGUGAUGAAGGUCUUCGGAUCGUAAAACUCUGUUAUCAGGGAAGAACAAAUGUGUAAGUAACUGUGCACAUCUUGACGGUACCUGAUCAGAAAGCCACGGCUAACUACGUG
This 497-nucleotide ribosomal RNA is filed under the name uncultured bacterium. Its description in RNAcentral is "partial 16S ribosomal RNA". It matches the Rfam family "Bacterial small subunit ribosomal RNA", at positions 28 to 507 of the family's 1533-position model. The record is from RNAcentral.